Molecule: unclassified non-coding RNA, 241 nt
Filed under: Hevea brasiliensis (rubber tree)
Lineage: Eukaryota; Viridiplantae; Streptophyta; Magnoliopsida; Malpighiales; Euphorbiaceae
Source: RNAcentral
AAAAUGUUGUCUUUAUGAUAAUACUUCUGAGUAGUAGUUUUUUGGUGGUGGUAUCAAAUGCAAGAAAACUGGCUGAAAAUGAUCAAGUAGGGAGGUUAUUAGCCUUCAAGAAGUCCUCUGUUGAAUCUGAUCCAAACGGAUUCUUGAAUGAAUGGACUUUAUCUUCUUCAAGUCCUUGUACUUGGAAUGGAAUUUCUUGUUCAAAUGGUCAAGUUGUUGAGCUUAAUCUGUCUAGUGUUGG